Molecule: long non-coding RNA, 1042 nt
Filed under: Vitis vinifera (wine grape)
Lineage: Eukaryota; Viridiplantae; Streptophyta; Magnoliopsida; Vitales; Vitaceae
Description: long non-coding RNA (VVIN_LNC005161)
Source: RNAcentral
ACUGAGGGUCUCUUCCUGUUAAGGACUGCAAUCUUGUAAGCUGCAGCUGUCUCAGUCCCAUCAGCAGGGCGAAGCAUCAAAAUGUUGGGCAUAGCCCGAAAACUUGCCAAGUGCUCUAUAGGCUGAUGUGUAGGUCCAUCUUCUCCAAGCCCAAUUGAAUCGUGUGUCAUAACAUAGAUGACUCCAGCUUCACACAAGGCAGAAAUCCUCAUGGCAGGUCUCAAGUAGUCAGUGAAAACAAAGAAAGUUGCACAAUAUGGAAUAAGGCCGGGGCAGUGAAGGACAAUCCCAUUGCAGAUGGCUCCCAUUCCAUGCUCCCGAACACCAAACCUGACAUUGCGCUCUUCUGGUGUGCCCUUUUGGAAGUUCCCAAACUGCUUCAUCACCGACAGGUUGGAGGAAGCAAGAUCAGCACUGCCACCAAGCAGACCAGGGAGAACAUUUGCAAGGGCAUUUAGACAUUGUUGUGAUGAAUUUCUCGUGGCUUCUGCUGGGCUCUCUGGAGUAUACGUCUAUAUCAAAGCAAGAAAAUUACCUUAAAAAUCAUCUAUAUUCCAAUAUAUAACAGCAUCCGUAUUGACAUUUUCAAAUAUGUCCAAAUGCAAAAUUUCCAAAUGACCAUAAAACUAAAAAAUGAAAAAUAAAAUUGCAAAGAAAACCGAAACAAUUAAAUCACUACUUACCGGAAGUGCCUUCUCCCAACCUGCAGGUAAUUCACCAUUGAUGAGAGACUUCAAUACUGCAGCUUCUUCUUUAUACUUGCGUUCGUAUUCAGCAAACUGGGCAUUCCAUUCAGCUUCCAGAGCUGCACCUUCAGGGACAUGGCGGCUCCAAUGCCUAAGGAACAAAAGCAAACCAAUUCAUCAAGCAAUCAUCCAUAAGCUCAAUCCAAGAAGUGAAGCAAGAAAAUUUAUGUCUUUUGUUAAUGCCCUUACUUCUUGACAUCCUCGGGUACAUGGAAAGGCUCAUAUGGCCAUCGAAGGUUCUUCCUUGUGGCAUCCAACUCCUUAGGACCUAGUGCACUUCCAUGUACACUGUAUGA